Molecule: long non-coding RNA, 415 nt
Filed under: Monodelphis domestica (gray short-tailed opossum)
Lineage: Eukaryota; Metazoa; Chordata; Mammalia; Didelphimorphia; Didelphidae
Description: lncRNA (ENSMODG00000043965.1)
Source: RNAcentral
CUAAAAGGUACAAAGACUUGGAGAAAAAGGAAGAGAAAUUGCAGAUCCAAUAGUUGGAGAAGGAGCUGUCACAGGCGGCGUGGAAUAUUAACGAGCCCAAAGCAGCAGUGCAGAGAGAGCAGGAGGAUCCAGGGUUUAGACAACACGACAAAAUUCCAAUUCAGAAGAAUCAACACACUAUUGAAGCAAGAAGUAAUACAAUGUAAAGCUGCCUUUUUUCAAAGAGUAAGCCAUGGCGCCUUGGUAUGCUAGUUUUAGAUUUUGAUGACAGAGAGCUGAAAGUUAUCACUUCUUCUUAAAGAGCAUAUCAUGUAAAUAUUCACUGACAAAGAAAGAAUUUGGAUUAAGAAAACCAGCAUCCACUUUAGAAGAAUGAUGGAGUCAAGAUAAUAAGUCAUCAAGCCCCAAACUUGCC